CGCAGUCACCGGAAGCGGCCGGGGCCGCCCUGAAGCCAGGCGUGGUCCCUGUAGCUGCUGUGUGCGCAGUUUGUGCGGGCAGGGGGAGCGGGUCCGCUCGCUCGCUGGCUGCCGCAGCCCCAGCUCCAGCUCCGGCACACUUUCGUCCUUGCCCUCAGUUUCUGUGAUGGUGCUUGCCUUGAAGGAAGGUGAAAAAGAAAUGAAGAGCCUGUGUACUUGAAGAUACGUAAAUACCAAGAGUCUCCAUUUAAAAUGGUGUGAAAGAAAGAAGGAAAGAGAUAAAGGAAGAACAGAGGAAACGUGAAGUUUCUUUUUGUAUCUCAAAUUGGUAAUGGGUAUUAAAGAGUUUUUGAAAUAUGG
Mobula hypostoma (lesser devil ray) is the source of this 360-nucleotide long non-coding RNA. RefSeq lists it as uncharacterized. Lineage: Eukaryota; Metazoa; Chordata; Chondrichthyes; Myliobatiformes; Myliobatidae. The record is from RefSeq and is a predicted model, not a curated record. The transcript is spliced from 3 exons.